UUAAAAAUUAUUCGAUCAUCCUUCAUCUUUAGAUCUAGUUUGUAGGUGCUAGUUAGACUUGGUACUCCAGAGGAAUUUGAGCCCUGGGAGCCCAGAGGAAGGAGAUUAAGCCUUGCCUUUGUGUUUUCUGUUCCCUAUUUCUGACUCCGUGACUGAAAGUCCAGAGGUGAGCCGAACACUGUGAACUGAAUUCCCGUCUGGAAGUCUCACCUUUCCAGGGUCUGCUGCCACAGAGCUGGCUCAGGAAACUCUGGAAAUGAACUUUAUGCAGUGUGCAAUUUGACUCUGCCGUGCCAGCUGGAAUACACCUUUAGGAGCUGAGUAGGUUUAAAGUGGCGGAUCCUGUCUUAAGACUAGACAUGAGAGCUCCUGGCCUUCGGACUCCGUGACUUACACCAGCUGCUUGUCCACUCUCCUCCCGUCCCACCAUCCAGCUUCUCAGGCCUCUGGCCUCAGACUGGGCAUUACAUCAUCUGCAACCCUGCUUCUCAAGCCUUCAGACUCGGACUGAAUUAUACCGCUGUCUUUCCUAGGUCUUCACCUUGCAGACAGCAGAACCUGGGACUUCCUGGCCUCCAUAAUCACGUCAUGUCCCAGGAGAAAGGAAACGAGCCCCAAUGCUCUGCCUUAUCACUUUGAGGAAGAGAUGGCCAGAGAGAAUGAACCUCCUAUUCCUAUCCUGGAGCCUGCUAACCCUGAGAAACCACCUGCUUGGAAAGUGUUCUGGACUUCCUCAGUUUCUCCAAUGCAAACGAAUACUCACCAGUGCCACAGAGACAUAU
Delphinapterus leucas (beluga whale) is the source of this 782-nucleotide non-coding RNA. The record is from RefSeq and is a predicted model, not a curated record. NCBI's taxonomy places the organism in Eukaryota, Metazoa, Chordata, Mammalia, Artiodactyla, Monodontidae.